CUUAACACAUGCAAGUCGAGGGGCAGCAUGGUCUUAGCUUGCUAAGGCCGAUGGCGACCGGCGCACGGGUGAGUAACGCGUAUCCAACCUGCCUUACACUCUUGGACAGCCUUCUGAAAGGGAGAUUAAUACAAGAUGUUAUCAUGAGUAAGCAUUUUCGCAUGAUUAAAGGUUUACCGGUGUAAGAUGGGGAUGCGUUCCAUUAGAUAGUAGGCGGGGUAACGGCCCACCUAGUCUUCGAUGGAUAGGGGUUCUGAGAGGAAGGUCCCCCACAUUGGAACUGAGACACGGUCCAAACUCCUACGGGAGGCAGCAGUGAGGAAUAUUGGUCAAUGGACGAGAGUCUGAACCAGCCAAGUAGCGUGAAGGAUGAAGGUUCUAUGGAUUGUAAACUUCUUUUAUACGGGAAUAAACGAAUCCACGUGUGGAUUUUUGCAUGUACCGUAUGAAUAAGGAUCGGCUAACUCCGUGCCAGCAGCCGCGGUAAUACGGAGGAUCCGAGCGUUAUCCGGAUUUAUUGGGUUUAAAGGGAGCGUAGAUGGGUUGUUAAGUCAGUUGUGAAAGUUUGCGGCUCAACCGUAAAAUUGCAAUUGAUACUGGCAGUCUUGAGUACAGUUGAGGUAGGCGGAAUUCGUGGUGUAGCGGUGAAAUGCUUAGAUAUCACGAAGAACUCCGAUUGCGAAGGCAGCUUACUAACCUGUAACUGACAUUGAUGCUCGAAAGUGUGGGUAUCAAACAGGAUUAGAUACCCUGGUAGUCCACACGGUAAACGAUGAAUACUCGCUGUAGGCGAUAUACAGUCUGCGGCCAAGCGAAAGCAUUAAGUAUUCCACCUGGGGAGUACGCCGGCAACGGUGAAACUCAAAGGAAUUGACGGGGGCCCGCACAAGCGGAGGAACAUGUGGUUUAAUUCGAUGAUACGCGAGGAACCUUACCCGGGCUUAAAUUGCAACCGAAUAUGGCGGAAACGCUAUAGCUAGCAAUAGCGGUUGUGAAGGUGCUGCAUGGUUGUCGUCAGCUCGUGCCGUGAGGUGUCGGCUUAAGUGCCAUAACGAGCGCAACCCUUGCCGAUAGUUACUAACAGGUCAUGCUGAGGACUCUGUCGGGACUGCCAUCGUAAGAUGUGAGGAAGGUGGGGAUGACGUCAAAUCAGCACGGCCCUUACGUCCGGGACUACACACGUGUUACAAUGGGGGGUACAGAGGGCUGCUACCACGCAAGUGGAUGCCAAUCCCAAAAACCUCUCUCAGUUCGGAUUGAAGUCUGCAACCCGACUUCAUGAAGCUGGAUUCGCUAGUAAUCGCGCAUCAGCCACGGCGCGGUGAAUACGUUCCCGGGCCUUGUACACACCGCCCGUCAAGCCAUGGGAGCCGGGGGUACCUGAAGUGCGUAACCGCAAGGAGCGCCCUAGGGUAAAACUGGUGACUGGGGCU
RNAcentral lists this ribosomal RNA (1433 nucleotides) under uncultured organism. RNAcentral's name for it is "SSU rRNA". It matches the Rfam family "Bacterial small subunit ribosomal RNA". The record is from RNAcentral.